This 213-nucleotide ribosomal RNA is filed under the name Bacillus sp. (in: firmicutes). RNAcentral describes it as "Bacillus sp. (in: Bacteria) partial 16S ribosomal RNA". It matches the Rfam family "Bacterial small subunit ribosomal RNA", at positions 211 to 423 of the family's 1533-position model. The record is from RNAcentral. Lineage: Bacteria; Bacillati; Bacillota; Bacilli; Caryophanales; Bacillaceae.
AGAGUUUCUUACAGAUGGACCCGCGGUGCAUUAGCUAGUUGGUGAGGUAACGGCUCACCAAGGCGACGAUGCGUAGCCGACCUGAGAGGGUGAUCGGUCACACUGGGACUGAAACACGGCCCAGACUCCUACGGGAGGCAGCAGUAGGGAAUCUUCCGCAAUGGACGAAAGUCUGACGGAGCAACGCCGCGUGAGUGAUGAAGGGUUUCGGAU